GCCACAUCCAGCGGCAGUGGCAAAAUAAUGUACGGUGAACGAGACAGAAAUAGAGUAAUUUGACGCAGCGGCAAUCGUUUGUGGACUUCCAGAGACACAAGCAAUGAGAAGCCGAUGCCGCUGAUAUUUUCUGCGUCUGUUUUAUCCUUCGUUUGUUGCCGCACGACUGCAAAAUCAGUCAGCCCUGGUUCAUCUGUGCUCCGUGUUGUUAUCGUUAAAGCUUUAAUUUUUUGACGCUACCGCUGCGUUCCGCGGCGAUGAAACGAACAGAGCUU
RNAcentral lists this long non-coding RNA (275 nucleotides) under Brassica rapa (field mustard). RNAcentral describes it as "long non-coding RNA (BRAP_LNC006803)". The record is from RNAcentral. Lineage: Eukaryota; Viridiplantae; Streptophyta; Magnoliopsida; Brassicales; Brassicaceae.